AGAAACGACGGGGGCCAACGGAUCGUUCUUCAAGUCCUACUGUCCUAGGCCCCGACUGCUCGCUCCUACCUCUCAAUCGAUUCCUUUCGGACUUUCCCGGAAAACCUCGGGAAAAUGCUGGAAAUUUUGCGAUCAUGAGUCCUUCGGAAACAAAAAUGAGGGGAUCUUUACGUGUAGAUGACGCGAAUGUUCCGUCCACCUCAGGUCCACAGAUACUCGCUCCUCAGGCUGCGCCGAGCCACCCGAAUUCCAAGCACAGUUUUGCCUGUGGUGGCAAUGUUUUUAGACUCUUGGCACGGAGAGAGGUUUCACCUAGAACGAAGCACUCAUCAAAACGGUUAUGGGGAGCUUCUAAACCGGGACUUGAUUCCUUUGGGUCAAGGAGUGCAGUGCAAGAUGCAAGAAGAGGUCUUGUAUCAUGGGUAGAGGCAGAAACGUUGCGGCAUUUUUCAGCCAAAUAUUGUCCACUAUUGCCUCCUCCAAGGUCGACUAUUGCAGCAGCCUUCAGCCCUGAUGGAAGAACAGUUGCCUCUACACAUGGAGACCAUACCGUAAAGAUUAUCGACUGCCAAACUGGGAGUUGCUUAAAGGUUUUGAGUGGUCACCGAAGGACCCCUUGGGUGGUUAGGUUUCAUCCAUUAUAUCCUGAAAUACUUGCAAGUGGAAGUUUGGAUCAUGAAGUUCGUUUAUGGGAUGCAUAUACUGCACAGUGUAUAGGAUCACGCGAUUUUUGUCGUCCUAUUGCUUCUAUUGCGUUCCAUGCACAGGGGGAGCUUCUUGCUGUGGCUUCAGGUCACAAACUAUACAUGUGGCAUUACAACAGGAGAGAUGAGACAUCCUCGCCAGCCAUUGUACUGAGAACACGCCGGUCACUGCGGGCUGUGCAUUUUCACCCACAUGCAGCCCCAUUUCUUUUAACUGCUGAGGUCAAUGACCUUGACUCAUCAGAUUCCUCAAUGACACUUGCAACUUCACCAGGUUACUUGCACUAUCCUCCACCCACUGUGUUCUUGGCCGACGCUCAUUCCAGUGGUCUUCCUUGUUUGGCAGAUGAACUUCCUCUCAUGUCUUUACCCUUUCUGAUGUGGCCUUCAUUUGCUAGAGAUGAUGGGAGAACAUCUUUGCAGCCUACUCAUGGGGAUGCAGGUUUGAGUACUGUGCAACCGAGAGUGGAUCCUUCUGCUUCAAUGCGGCUUCUGACAUAUUCCACUUCUUCAGGGCAGUAUGAACUUUUAUUGUCUCCAAUUGAUCCUCAUAGUUCAUCUCCUGUGCCAGAGGAUAUGGGGAAUGAUUUUAUAACGAGUGAAAUGGGUAACACGAUUUAUCAAUCUGCUGUGGAUACCAUGGAGACUAUGGAAGUGCAUCCCGAAGAGAGAAAUACUCGCUUUUUCCCUUUUGGUGAUCCAACGUAUUGGGAGCUACCCUUCUUGCAAGGGUGGUUAAUUGGCCAGAGCCAAGCUGCACAACGCUCCAUGAAUUCUGUCAAUGGUUCAGCCCACGAGAAUUCAUCAGCAUUUAAUGAAAUGGAAAAUCUUGCGGCUUCUUCAGUUGUGCCUACUGUUGUUGGCCAAUAUAGGGCUACCGGAAGGUCCAGCUCGCGACAGCGUUCUUCACGUUUUCGCAUGAGGUCCAGGACCGUAUCUGGUGACGGUGCUGCUUUCAAUCAUGUUUCACGUGAUGAAGGUGAUCCUCGAGUUGCUGUAAGUAGAAUCCAAUCUGAACUUGCAACCUCAUUGGCUGCGGCGGCUGCUGGGGAGUUACCGUGCAGUGUCAAGCUAAGAUUAUGGGCACAUGACAUAAAAGAUCCAUGUGCUGUUCUUGAUGCAGAAAAGUGCCGCCUAACUAUACCCCACGCUGUACUUUGUAGUGAAAUGGGGGCUCAUUUUUCACCUUGCGGGAGAUUUUUAGCAGCUUGUGUGGCAUGCGUGCUGCCUCAUCUAGAAGCUGAUCCAGGAUUGCAAGGGGUUCACCAUGACAUCCCAGGGGCUGCAACCUCCCCGACUCGGCACCCAAUUUCUGCUCACCAAGUUCUGUAUGAGCUUCGGAUAUAUUCCCUUGAGGAGGCAACAUUUGGCUCGGUCCUUGCAUCACGGGCAAUACGGGCUGCUCACUGUUUAACCUCAAUUCAGUUCUCUCCUACAUCGGAGCACUUGUUACUUGCUUAUGGUCGACGCCAUAGUUCACUUCUUAAGAGUGUUGUCAUUGAUGGGGAGACAACAGUGCCUAUUUACACAAUUCUGGAGGUUUACAGAGUUUCUGAUAUGGAACUUGUGAGAGUUCUUCCUAGUGCUGAGGAUGAGGUCAAUGUAGCCUGCUUUCAUCCAUCAGUUGGAUGUGGCCUUGUCUAUGGGACUAAGGAAGGGAAACUUAGGAUCCUACAUUAUGAUAGUUCUCAUGCCACGACUUGUGCGGCAUCUCAUUUGCUUGAUGAAAACAUGCACGAGGUCCCAACAUAUGCUUUAGAAUGCUAAUAGCUAGUGAUCAUUACCUACAUUGAUGUGUACAACUCCACUGGAAUGGACAAUUUUUACGGACAUGGAUUCAGCUGAGUUUGGAAGAUCCACUACUGAUUUAUUUGGAAGCACUUCAUUACAUUUGCAUGCAUGGCUACCCACCGCUUAUGAUUUGGUGAGACAACAUACCCCAUGUAAUUUAUACAGGGGCAAGAAGUAUUGUUUCAUUAAUGGAUUGCUGAGUCUGAGACAGCAUAUCUAUUUGGCCAUUCAGUCCUUGUGGAAUCCAUUCAGGACGGAGUAGGGACUAGCAAAGAUGAUAUUGCACACUACUCAUUUUUACAACACGAUCGUGUAAAAUUCAACAUUCAAUUCAUACAAAAUAUAGUGUAUUUGAUGAAGUGCCUGUGGUAGGGUUCUUUGCAACAUAUUGGUAAUAAUUAUAAUCUCACAUCCUAUUCAUGCAUGGACUGUGGAAGACUAUAAAGAAUCUUUCCAAAAUAAAAAGAGCUGGAAGCUUUUCUCGUGA
Molecule: RNA transcript, 2982 nt
Organism: Carya illinoinensis
Lineage: Eukaryota; Viridiplantae; Streptophyta; Magnoliopsida; Fagales; Juglandaceae
Exons: 17
Source: RefSeq, a predicted model, not a curated record